AUUGAACGCUGGCGGCAUGCCUUACACAUGCAAGUCGAACGGCAGCAUGGGAGCAAUCCUGGUGGCGAGUGGCGAACGGGUGAGUAAAGUAUCGGAACGUGCCCAGUCGUGUGGGAUAACGUAGCGAAAGUUACGCUAAUACCGCAUACGAUCUAUGGAUGAAAGCGGGGGAUCGCAAGACAUCGCGCGAUUGGAGCGGCCGAUAUCAGAUUAGGUAGUUGGUGGGGUAAAGGCUCACCAAGCCGACGAUUAGUAGCUGGUCUGAGAGGACGACCAGCCACACUGGGACUGGUAGACGGCCCAGGCGCCUACGGGAGGCAGCAGUGGUAAUUUUGGACAAUGGGCGAGAACCUGAUCCAGCCAUGCCGCGUGCAGGAUGAAGGCCUUCGGGUUGUAAGCUGCUUUUGUACGGAACGAAAAGGUUUGGCCUAAGAAGCUGAGCUCAGGACGGUACCGUAAGAAUAAGCACCGGCUAACUACGUGCCAGCCGCCGCCGUAA
This 499-nucleotide ribosomal RNA is filed under the name uncultured bacterium. Its description in RNAcentral is "partial 16S ribosomal RNA". It matches the Rfam family "Bacterial small subunit ribosomal RNA", at positions 30 to 523 of the family's 1533-position model. The record is from RNAcentral.